AUACAUGAAUCUCAUAUGGCUACAUCGAGCAACUUGUACAGGCUGAUUCUGUCUUAAAACUGUGUUAUGAUUCCUAUGACAUGGUUUUAGGAAAAUUGCUAGGGUAUCGUGUUCCUCUGCUGCCACUCACGAAUCAUGGGAUAGAAAAUUGCUCGGGAUGUUGAAUCUGAUUCUGAUUCUGAAACUUUGCUACCUUCUUGUGAGAGUAUACAUGGCUUAGAAACAUCAGAAGACAGGAAAAGUUUCAAGGGUAACAAUUAAAGCUCCAAUCAUGAUGGAAAGAAAUCACUAGCAGUGUCUGACGGUGCCCAGUGGGAUGUUUUUCGCAGACAAGAUGUUCCCAAGCUUAUAGAUUAUCUCAAAAGGCAUUCUAAUGAGUUUGCUUGCCACAAGCGGAAAUCUUAUGAGACAAAACAGUAUAAGAAGGGGUUGAAGGCUGCAGACACUAUAUUGAAAAAGUUUCUAGACCAUGGAGGUAUAUUGAGAUGAAUUUUUUGGAGCAAUUCUUGACAACAUUUGUAGUUGAGGCCUUUAGAAUGGAAGAAUGUAUUUCACUAAUUUUUGUAUACAUUUCUUGUUUUGUAUUUAGUGAUAAAGGAAUCUGAAUUGGGCAUAAAUUAUGUUGUAAUAUGAUUUCUUAAGCCUAGACUAGUAGACUAAAUAUUGUAAUUACAUUUGAGUAAUUAAUAAAAAUCUAUUUAUGUUACUUUAUUUGGCUUCAA
Long non-coding RNA from Humulus lupulus (European hop), 722 nucleotides. RefSeq lists it as uncharacterized. NCBI's taxonomy places the organism in Eukaryota, Viridiplantae, Streptophyta, Magnoliopsida, Rosales, Cannabaceae. The transcript is spliced from 4 exons. The record is from RefSeq and is a predicted model, not a curated record.